This 530-nucleotide ribosomal RNA is filed under the name uncultured Planctomycetota bacterium. Its description in RNAcentral is "bacterial SSU rRNA". It matches the Rfam family "Bacterial small subunit ribosomal RNA", at positions 40 to 524 of the family's 1533-position model. Lineage: Bacteria; Pseudomonadati; Planctomycetota. The record is from RNAcentral.
CGGCGUGGAUUAGGCAUGCAAGUCGAACGAGGAAGUGCCCCGUAAGGGGCGCAAGCCUAGUGGCGAAAGGGUGAGUAAUGCAUUGAUAACCUGCCUUUGAGAUGGGAAUAACUGCGUUUCGAGUAAUCGGAACUACCGAAAGGGCUGCUAAUACCCAAUAAUACUAUAGGUGCAAAAGCACUUGUGGUCAAAUGCUAGGAAUUCUGUUCCUUGUGCUUAAAGAGGGGUUAAUGUCCUAUCAGCUAGUUGGUGGGGUAAUGGCCUACCAAGGCAAAGACGGGUAGCCGGCUUGAGAGGGUGGUCGGCCACACUGGGACUGAGACACUGCCCAGACUCCUACGGGAGGCUGCAGUCGAGAAUCUUUCGCAAUGCCCGAAAGGGUGACGAAGCGACGCCGCGUGUGGGAAGAAGGCCUUCGGGUUGUAAACCACUGUCGGGAGUUAGGAAAUGCAGAUGCGUUAAUAGCGCACUUGCUUGACUAAGGCUCCAGAGGAAGCCACGGCUAACUCUGUGCCAGCAGCCGCGGUAAU